AAUUGCAAGAAUCAAACGCACUUAAGAAAAUUUAUCGGUUUGGGCCGGACUAGAACGGUUUGUUUAUACAAUUCAAGAUGUCCAGAUUCCAGAAUUUUUGUAGAAGAGAGAGGGAGAGUGUUUCCCGCACGAAAAUUGCCGCGAUGUGGGGCACGAUUAAUGGUGCAAUGAGAACAUAAAUGUUCCUGAAUCCCUUAAUCUAAAAUACUCGAAAGACGAAAAUGGAAGACGAAGUUGAGAGGCGACAGAUCGAGCAGAUCUAGAGCUGGACGACGAGGAGUUACAGAUUGAAGAAGUCGAAAGUCUUCUUGAAUCGUCCGAUGAUGAUCGUGAAGCUACGUAACGACCGUAACCAUAAUUUAUCGCGCCACUCGAUUCGUCGUUAACCAUUGCUUUUAGAAUUUAUCGCCGUUCUAUCACAGUGUUCAUAUAUAUACUUUUUCGGACUGGGGUUCUUGAAAUUUCAAUUUGUCAGCAUCACUUUGUCUUUGCUAAUUUUUAUUUCAUUCUUAAAACAUUCAGUCUUUUAGUAAGAAUUGUUGGAAGCUAUUUAUUUUAAAUUAAAGCACUUCGAGAUUUGUUUCAGGUGUUCUUUUGGUUUGUAACUUUAUUGUCCAUAUUGUAGUGGCGGUGCUUCAACUGAUGAUUUUACCUUCAAAUUUCAAUACCUAUUUGAGUUCCUUACAUUCAUAUCUCGGCGGUAAUCAUAUAAUCAGAACAUGAGUAGUAUAUUUUCAUCAGAUACUGGAUCGUCAUAUUAUUUACUUCCGUGAUCGUACCUGAGAAAUAAUUGACAAAGGAGCGCAUGUAGUUCGGUAGGACAAAUUAUGUAUGUGGUUGUUUAUAUUCAUUAUCUUGCAUUUCUCUCGUAAAUCAUUCUUGCGCCGUAUAACCACGAUUAAUUCUUUCUUGCAAUUGUUAUGCAUGGACAAUCCACAAACUGUGCAUACUCUGAAACCCUAAUGGGAUGCCUUUUUACUGCCACAGAUAAGAAGCUGAAGCCUAACUCGUUUUGGGGAAUAAGGAGUUUUCAAGUUGUGGAGGACAUGCUGUAGGAACCUUGUGUUCUCAACUCAAUGCUGUCCUAAAAUUUUCACAUGCAAAAUCAGAGAAUGGUUAUAUAACUUGGGAGCAAUAUCUUUUUUGGCAUCCAGCCGUUGAUAAAAUGAUAAGUUAAAAUUUGAUUUUGUCGUUUCUCACGUUCUAAGUAAACCCGUUCACUGUAAAUAAGCCGACUUGAAAUAUCGGUAGCUUGCCAUAUCCCCCCCCCCCUCCCAAAU
Molecule: long non-coding RNA, 1280 nt
Filed under: Gossypium barbadense (sea-island cotton)
Lineage: Eukaryota; Viridiplantae; Streptophyta; Magnoliopsida; Malvales; Malvaceae
Description: long non-coding RNA (GBAR_LNC003609)
Source: RNAcentral